Molecule: non-coding RNA, 72 nt
Organism: Ornithorhynchus anatinus (platypus)
Lineage: Eukaryota; Metazoa; Chordata; Mammalia; Monotremata; Ornithorhynchidae
Source: Rfam
AGCAGCGUGGCUCAGUGGAGAGAGCCCGGGCUUGGGAGUCAAAAGUCAUGGGUUCGAAUCCCAGCUCUGCCA